RNAcentral lists this ribosomal RNA (257 nucleotides) under uncultured bacterium. RNAcentral's name for it is "partial 16S ribosomal RNA". It matches the Rfam family "Bacterial small subunit ribosomal RNA", at positions 524 to 778 of the family's 1533-position model. The record is from RNAcentral.
UACGAAGGGGGCUAGCGUUGUUCGGAUUUACUGGGCGUAAAGCGCACGUAGGCGGAUUGUUAAGUGAGAGGUGAAAUCCCGGAGCUCAACUCCGGAACUGCCUUUCAUACUGGCAAUCUAGAGUCCGGAAGAGGUGAGUGGAACUCCUAGUGUAGAGGUGGAAUUCGUAGAUAUUAGGAAGAACACCAGUGGCGAAGGCGGCUCACUGGUCCGGUACUCGACGCUGAGGUGCGGAAAGCGUGGGGAGCAAAGCAGGG